Molecule: ribosomal RNA, 468 nt
Filed under: uncultured bacterium
Lineage: Bacteria
Description: partial 16S ribosomal RNA
Rfam family: Bacterial small subunit ribosomal RNA
Source: RNAcentral
GACGAACGCUGGCGGCGUGCUUAACACAUGCAAGUCGAACGGAAAGGCCCUGCUUUUGUGGGGUGCUCGAGUGGCGAACGGGUGAGUAACACGUGAGUAACCUGACCUUGACUUUGGGAUAACUUCAGGAAGCUGGGGCUAAUACCGGAUAGGAGCUCCUGCUGCAUGGUGGGGGUUGGAAAGUUUCGGCGGUUGGGGAUGGACUCGCGGCUUAUCAGCUUGUUGGUGGGGUAGCGGCUUACCAAGGCUUUGACGGGUAGCCGGCCUGAGAGGGUGACCGGCCACAUUGGGACUGAGAUACGGCCCAGACUCCUACGGGAGGCAGCAGUGGGGAAUAUUGCACAAUGGGCGGAAGCCUGAUGCAGCAACGCCGCGUGCGGGAUGACGGCCUUCGGGUUGUAAACCGCUUUCGCCUGUGACGAAGCGUGAGUGACGGUAAUGGGUAAAGAAGCACCGGCUAACUACGUG